Molecule: long non-coding RNA, 626 nt
Filed under: Homo sapiens (human)
Lineage: Eukaryota; Metazoa; Chordata; Mammalia; Primates; Hominidae
Description: HSALNT0037040
Source: RNAcentral
CACCAUUGCCCUAGUGUCCUUCUAGGUAAGGUGGAAACCAAUGCAUCACUGCCCUUGAUGGAUUUGUCAAUAAUACUUAGCAGGGGAGGGGAACUGCUCACAUAACACUCGCAGGUCUCCAGUCCCCGAGCAGUUUGGUGUGAUUUAAUUGUCUGAAGAGGUGUGUGCUUCUGCAUAUAUGCAGGAACUAAGCAGUGGUCACAGGCAGAGGGAGUUAGCAGUGGAGCUGACUGCAUUGGAAAGCCUUGGGAAAACAGCACGGAAAAUAACAGGCGGCCGGAGCCACGGCCAGGGUGCUCCAAGCCUGAACAUUGAGCACGACCCAGGUCAUAUGCACAACACGACAGGUUGAGCGUCCAUGUGUGGCUACUGGGUUUGCUGGGGACACCUCUUGCCUGCCAGGGUGAGCACACGCAGCAGUGAGCAGCCCCGUGUGACCCCACGGGAUGAGGAUGCCAUGAUGUCAGCAUCCCUUCUGACUUGGAGGUAUGUGACAUUCAUGGUGCCAAUGCCACUGUCACCUUGCAGAUCAGUCUGGGUUUGCUUCAGACAGAAGAUCCUGGAAUAUGUUCAAGCAUUACUCAUCUCCAGACUUUUUCAACCCAAUAAAUUUUCAUACUACUUGA